GCAAGCGUUAAUCGGAAUUACUGGGCGUAAAGCGCACGCAGGCGGUUUGUUAAGUCAGAUGUGAAAUCCCCGGGCUCAACCUGGGAACUGCAUCUGAUACUGGCAAGCUUGAGUCUCGUAGAGGGGGGUAGAAUUCCAGGUGUAGCGGUGAAAUGCGUAGAGAUCUGGAGGAAUACCGGUGGCGAAGGCGGCCCCCUGGACGAAGACUGACGCUCAGGUGCGAAAGCGUGGGGAGCAAACAGGAUUAGAUACCCUGGUAGUCCACGCCCUAAACGAUGUCAACUAGCUGUUGGGGCCUUCGGGCCUUGGUAGCGCAGCUAACGCGUGAAGUUGACCGCCUGGGGAGUACGGCCGCAAGGUUAAAACUC
This 368-nucleotide ribosomal RNA is filed under the name uncultured Escherichia sp. RNAcentral's name for it is "bacterial SSU rRNA". It matches the Rfam family "Bacterial small subunit ribosomal RNA", at positions 534 to 902 of the family's 1533-position model. The record is from RNAcentral. Lineage: Bacteria; Pseudomonadati; Pseudomonadota; Gammaproteobacteria; Enterobacterales; Enterobacteriaceae.